Molecule: transfer RNA, 72 nt
Filed under: Winogradskyella sp. PG-2
Lineage: Bacteria; Pseudomonadati; Bacteroidota; Flavobacteriia; Flavobacteriales; Flavobacteriaceae
Description: tRNA-Pro (TGG) (tRNA-Pro-TGG-2-1)
Rfam family: tRNA
About the family: Transfer RNA (tRNA) molecules are approximately 80 nucleotides in length. Their secondary structure includes four short double-helical elements and three loops (D, anti-codon, and T loops). Further hydrogen bonds mediate the characteristic L-shaped molecular structure. tRNAs have two regions of fundamental functional importance: the anti-codon, which is responsible for specific mRNA codon recognition, and the 3' end, to which the tRNAs corresponding amino acid is attached (by aminoacyl-tRNA synthetases). tRNAs cope with the degeneracy of the genetic code in two manners: having more than one tRNA (with a specific anti-codon) for a particular amino acid; and 'wobble' base-pairing, i.e. permitting non-standard base-pairing at the 3rd anti-codon position.
Source: RNAcentral
CUGGGAGAAUAACUAUGGUUGUUUACUCGCUUUGGAAGCGAGAGGUUGUAGGUUCGAGUACUGCCUCUCAGA